Molecule: ribosomal RNA, 245 nt
Filed under: uncultured bacterium
Lineage: Bacteria
Description: partial 16S ribosomal RNA
Rfam family: Bacterial small subunit ribosomal RNA
Source: RNAcentral
UACGUAGGGUGCGAGCGUUAAUCGGAAUUACUGGGCGUAAAGCGUGCGCAGGCGGUUAGCCGAGUCCGAUGUGAAAGCCCCGGGCUCAACCUGGGAAUGGCAUUGGAAACUGGCUGGCUGGAGUGUGGCAGAGGGGGGUGGAAUUCCACGUGUAGCAGUGAAAUGCGUAGAGAUGUGGAGGAACACCGAUGGCGAAGGCAGCCCCCUGGGCCAACACUGACGCUCAGGCACGAAAGCGUGGGGAG